This 402-nucleotide ribosomal RNA is filed under the name bacterium. Its description in RNAcentral is "partial 16S ribosomal RNA". It matches the Rfam family "Bacterial small subunit ribosomal RNA", at positions 355 to 776 of the family's 1533-position model. The record is from RNAcentral.
UGGGGAAUUUUGCACAAUGGGGGAAACCCUGAUGCAGCGACGCCGCGUGAUUUAGAAGGCCUUCGGGUUGUAAAAAUCUUUUCUAUGGGAAGAAAAUGACAGUACCAUAGGAAUAAGGACCGGCUAAUUACGUGCCAGCAGCCGCGGUAAUACGUACGGUCCGAGCGUUGUCCGGAAUCAUUGGGCGUAAAGGGUACGUAGGCGGGUAAGCAAGUUAGAAGUGAAAUCCUAUAGCUCAACUAUAGUAAGCUUUUAAAACUGCUAAUCUUGAGGUAUGAAAGGGAAAGUGGAAUUCCUAGUGUAGCGGUGAAAUGCGCAGAUAUUAGGAGGAAUACCGGUGGCGAAGGCGACUUUCUGGCCAUAACCUGACGCUGAGGUACGAAAGCGUGGGUAGCAAACAGG